UACGAGGGAUGCAAGCGUUAUCCGGAAUUAUUGGGCGUAAAGCGUCCGCAGGUGGCUCUGUAAGUCUGUCGUUAAAGAAUGGGGCUCAACCCCAUACAGGCGAUGGAAACUACAAGGCUAGAGUUUGGUAGAGGUCACGGGAAUUCCUAGUGUAGCGGUGAAAUGCGUAGAUAUUAGGAAGAACACCAGCGGCGAAGGCGCGUGACUGGGCCAGUACUGACACUCAUGGACGAAAGCUAGGGGAGCGAAAGGG
Molecule: ribosomal RNA, 253 nt
Filed under: uncultured bacterium
Lineage: Bacteria
Description: partial 16S ribosomal RNA
Rfam family: Bacterial small subunit ribosomal RNA
Source: RNAcentral